Molecule: RNA transcript, 1409 nt
Organism: Scylla paramamosain (green mud crab)
Lineage: Eukaryota; Metazoa; Arthropoda; Malacostraca; Decapoda; Portunidae
Exons: 5
Source: RefSeq, a predicted model, not a curated record
UGCCAAGUGUCACCCGGAGAAAGGGAAAAUAGCUUAGUUACCGCUAAAUUUCCAGAGCUAGUGACAACACUACAUGUGGAAACAUGCCAGACACUUCCACUCACCAUCUGAUUCGAGAAACCUUGCCCCACGCACAAUGGUAAUGUUUCCGUAGUCCCGGCAGCUUCUCCCUGUACCAAGCACCGCCACGCAGCACCAGAGAGCCACGAGAUGGACAGGUUAAGAUGCCACACGGAGGGGGGUGAAGGAGCCUUGGGGAUGCCUGAAGGAGGAGCAGUGAAGGAGGGAGGCCUGGAGGUGAAGGAAAUGCAGAAAAUUCCUCUAAUACUGAGCGCUUCUCUGGUCAGACCAUCCUUCACUGAAUAUUUGGACCGAGGCUUCAAGAUACGAGUGAGCCAGGCGACCCUCCAGAACAGCGCCAUCCUGCCCACUUGUGGUGUGGCAGCCCUGAUCGUACCCCUCCCUCCCUCUCCCUCCUCCUCCUCCUCCUCCUCCUCCUCCUCCUCCUCCUCCUCCAGCAAAGAAGAGACCUUUGAUCAGCUGGUGGACAGGGUCCGCGCCUUUAGCCGAGUACACGCGGGGGGCGUUGUAAUACUGGUGGGUGCUGUGUUUGGCAUGGAGGAGGUGAACGGGGUGUUGGGGAAGUUAUCAAGGAGGUUACUACCACGCCCCUCCCCUGCUACUGCCUGCCCACGGGGAAGCCCAGGCUGCCGCGCACAUACAACUACUGGCAAAGAAGUAGCGGCGGGGCUGGAAGUGGGCGGGAGUUUAGCAGGCUUCGCUAAGAUUGGGCUGGAAGUUAACGGAGGAGUAGGCGCGGCACGUGACAAUGCAAUACAGGGCUUACAGAGGGCAGGCGUGACUGGGCCCUGCCUCGCCGCCCUUGUCAACACCCUAGAGAGAGAUACGCUCACCUUGUAGAGAGAGAGAGAGAGAGAGAGAGAGAGAGAGAGAGAGAGAGAGAGAGAGAGAGAGGAUAUAUUUUAAUUUUCUUUCGUUAUAUAUUCAAUUUAUUUAUUCAUUUGUUAUUUUAACGGUUACUUUCUUUUCUCAAUAUUUUUCGUUCGUUUUUUUUAUAAUGUAAUGCUUAAUUUUAUCUAUAUUUGUUUACAUUUUUUUUAUCACUUUCGAUUUUAUAUUCAGUUCAUUUAUUUAUCUUUAUUUUUAAGAUCAUUUAUUUAUUUAAUUUAUUUUUUCGCUCGUUUUCAUAAUGGGAAUGUUUACUUUUAUAUAUAUUUUUAUAUAUCUUCGAUUUAAGUGUGUCUAAGUAUUUGCAAGGAUCAUUUAUUUAUUUAUUUUUAUUUUCCGUCCGUUUUUUUUUUUUUUUAUAAUGGAAUCUUGUUAUUUCAUCCAUAUUUCCGUUUUCUGUUACUUGUUCAUGCCAGGGGUGACAAUAAACAUUAAGAUUA